This is a long non-coding RNA of Maniola jurtina (meadow brown), 428 nucleotides long. RefSeq lists it as uncharacterized. Lineage: Eukaryota; Metazoa; Arthropoda; Insecta; Lepidoptera; Nymphalidae. The transcript is spliced from 3 exons. The record is from RefSeq and is a predicted model, not a curated record.
AUGGGAUUCCUAAAAACCCAUGCGCUAAAUCGAUUUGUGUGAAAACUGAGGUAGCUUGCAUUCCUCUAAUUGACAGGCAUCUUUUUAUCUCAGAAAAUCAAACAGUUCGCACGGGAUCUUUAAAAACCUAAAUACACGCGGAUGAAGUCGCGGGCAUCCUCUAGUUAUCCUUUUACAACUUAUGCGCGUAGUAUGAGAUUUUAAGUCUUACAAAAUUCGACCUUCAAAACAUAAUAACGUCAAGAUUAAAAUGGACCUAAAGGCCCUUGAUUUAAGGUCAAAUAUUCAGUAUUCAGUAUUCACUGAUUUCAAUUUUGCCGUUCAACCGGUUCACCGGUUUCAAUGUUUCCGUUCACACCACUGGCUGUAGAUGUAUGGACGAAAUUGAACUUUAAAACAAGGCUGUUUAGAGUCCAUUUUCUUUUAAC